UCCAUAUGACUGUUAGGGAAUCAUGCA
Molecule: non-coding RNA, 27 nt
Filed under: Mus musculus (house mouse)
Lineage: Eukaryota; Metazoa; Chordata; Mammalia; Rodentia; Muridae
Source: RNAcentral